ACUUAAAUUGAAGAGUUUGAUCAUGGCUCAGAUUGAACGCUGGCGGCAGGCCUAACACAUGCAAGUCGAACGGUAGCACAGAGAGCUUGCUCUCGGGUGACGAGUGGCGGACGGGUG
This 117-nucleotide ribosomal RNA is filed under the name Enterobacter cloacae. RNAcentral describes it as "partial 16S ribosomal RNA". It matches the Rfam family "Bacterial small subunit ribosomal RNA", at positions 1 to 108 of the family's 1533-position model. The record is from RNAcentral. RNAcentral also lists the same sequence under 2 other names. Lineage: Bacteria; Pseudomonadati; Pseudomonadota; Gammaproteobacteria; Enterobacterales; Enterobacteriaceae.